UACGUAGGGUGCAGGCGUUUAAUCGGAAUUACUGGGCGUAAAGCGUGCGCAGGCGGCUCCUUAAGUCAGAUGUGAAAUCCCCGGGCUUAACCUGGGAACUGCGUUUGAAACUGAGGAGCUCGAGUGUGGAAGAGGGGGGGUGGAAUUCCAGGUGUAGCAGUGAAAUGCGUAGAGAUCUGGAGGAACACCGAUGGCGAAGGCAGCCCCCUGGGCUAACACUGACGCUCAUGCACGAAAGCGUGGGGAGCAAACAGG
Molecule: ribosomal RNA, 255 nt
Filed under: uncultured bacterium
Lineage: Bacteria
Description: partial 16S ribosomal RNA
Rfam family: Bacterial small subunit ribosomal RNA
Source: RNAcentral